Non-coding RNA from Camelus ferus (Wild Bactrian camel), 73 nucleotides. NCBI's taxonomy places the organism in Eukaryota, Metazoa, Chordata, Mammalia, Artiodactyla, Camelidae. The record is from Rfam.
GGAGAGUACAGCUCAGCUGUAGAGUGUGUGCUUAGCAUGCAUGAGGUACUGGGUUCAACCCCCAGCACCUCCA